ACUCAAAGGAAUUGACGGGGGCCCGCACAAGCAGCGGAGCGUGUGGUUUAAUUCGAUGAUACGCGAAGAACCUCACCCAGGUUUGACAUGCAUGUGGUACUGAUGUGAAAGCUGAGGGACCCUUCGGGGAGCAUGCACAGGUGUUGCACGGCCGUCGUCAGCUCGUGCCGUGAGGUGUUGGGUUAAGUCCCGCAACGAGCGCAACCCCUGUCGCCAGUUGUAUUUUUCUGGCGAGACUGCCGAGUAAACCUCGGAGGAAGGAGGGGACGAUGUCAGGUCAGCGUGGCCCUUACGCCUGGGGCUACACACACGCUACAAUGGGUGGUACAACGGGUUGCUAAGCCGCGAGGUGGAGCUAAUCCCAUCAAAACCAUCCUCAGUUCGGAUUGUAGGCUGAAACCCGCCUGCAUGAAGCCGGAGUUGCUAGUAAACGCAGGUCAGCAUUACUGCGUUGAAUACGUUCCCGGGCCUUGCACACACCGCCCGU
This 487-nucleotide ribosomal RNA is filed under the name uncultured bacterium. RNAcentral describes it as "partial 16S ribosomal RNA". It matches the Rfam family "Bacterial small subunit ribosomal RNA", at positions 899 to 1397 of the family's 1533-position model. The record is from RNAcentral.